Triticum dicoccoides is the source of this 1641-nucleotide RNA transcript. RefSeq lists it as uncharacterized. Lineage: Eukaryota; Viridiplantae; Streptophyta; Magnoliopsida; Poales; Poaceae. The transcript has 9 exons. The record is from RefSeq and is a predicted model, not a curated record.
CACCAUUGAUGCAGAAGUGGGCCCCCGCCGACCCCUCCGCGCCCGCGCCCUCCCCCUCCCCGGGCCACGCGCCCUCCACCUCCAUCGACCGCAUCGUCCACCGCCUUCACAACCUCGGCCUCGGCACCGACGACGACGAGCCCUCCUCCUCCCCCAUCGUCGCCCCGCUCGACGACAGGGAGCGCCUCGGCGACCUGCUCGACCGCAGCUGGGCGCGCCCCGACCGCCAGUUCGCCGCCUCCGGCCUCGACGAGGCAGUCCUCCCGUGGAGAGGGACCGGGAGAGCGACGGUGAGGAGGCGGACGGGGUCAAGAGGAAGCGGGUCAGGGCGACCUCACUGGCGGAGCUCACCAUGGACGACGUGGAGCUGCGCCGCCUGCAGGGCAUGGGCAUGACUCUCAAGGACCGCAUCACCGUGCCCAAGGUCGGGGUCACGCAGGCCAUCACAGAGAAGAUCCACGACGCCUGGAGGAAGUCCGAGCUGGUCCACCUCAAGUUCCACGAGGACCUCGCCAACGACAUGAAGACUGCCCAUGAGCUUGUCGAGUUCCUUUCAGUCAGCUAAACGUCAAUAUGUUGGAUGAUGUUGUGGAGAGGGCCACCGAGAGGGGGUUUGCAUUGCCAAAGUCGAAGGUGGCCAUUGCCUUGACCUGCCUGGACCUCUUGACCUUUAACAACGCCCAAACAGGAAACACAUGUUGGAGGAGGAGACCACAAGCUAAUUGAUGAUUUGGAUGAGUGGAUAAGAGGACGACAUGAGCAGCUCAAGUCUCUCAACACGCAGAUGGAUGAUGUUGUGGAGAGGGCCAUCGGGAGGGGGUUUGCAUUGCCAAAGUUGAAGGUGGCCAUCGCCUUGACCUGCCUGGACCUCCUGACCUUUCACAACGCUCAAACAGGAAACACAUGUUGGAGGAGGAGACCACAAGCUAAUUGAUGAUUUGGAUGAGUGGAUCAGAGGAUGACAUGAGCAGAUGUGGAGAGGGUUCUCCUAGCGGUCAUUGAAACUGUGAUAUGCAUUUCCUUGCUCUCGGCUCUGAUCAAGUUUGUAGCGUCUGGGAAUGUGCACAUGAAAAUCCACAUGACCAUAGCGGACCAUUGUAAUGCGGCAAAUCAAAUUUCAAUACUCAACACUCUUCUAUGUGGAUUAACGAAGGGCAUGACGGAUGGCACUAGCGGAAAGGUGAGCACCGGUGGAGAUAAGCGAGAAAAGGAGUAGCGCGAGGCGGUAGGCAGCCUUGAAGAGGAUGAGUGGGCCCGCUGCUAGGGGAUGGUCCUAGGGAUUUUUGAAUCAACGAGAGCAGUGUCGGCCCAGGCUAUCUAGAAUGAUUGCAUGUAUUAAUGAAGUAGUCCACGUUAGGUGGAUUGGCUCAAAAUGGAGAAGCAUGAUUGUAUUAAGCAUUUAAGCUCUAAGCAAUUUAGAAUGUCAAUGUCUUGGGGCUCCCUUGCAAUAUUUCAGAGAACUAUAUUUUUUCCGACAUUUUAUAUUGCCUCACGAUGUUUGGGGGAUCUGAUUAGGUAUUGUUUCUCUAUAUAUCUAUCCAUCUCUCUAUUUUAGUUGCUAAUAGAAUAAUGAACAAUUGAUAGGACUAAUCUUAUAGACUUGUUUUCUCCUUAAUCCGACUGUGUAUUUUCCAAGUUUUG